GAAAACUUUGACGAUGGAUCUCUUGGCUCUGGCAUCGAUGAAGAACGCAGCGAAACGCGAUAGGGUGAUGCGAUUUGCACAGCAUAGCGAACCAUUGAAUCUUUGAACGCACAUUGCGCCCCUCUGCCGUUUCACGGUUCGGGGGGCACGCCUGUCCGAGCGUCGCCAUGAAUGUCGAGCCUUACGGGCUUGGUUUUGGGGCUUUUAUCCCUCUGGCCAUGCUUUUGGCCUGGAUUGCCUUGCAAGCUGUUGGUGGUGCCCCUGGUGCCUUUGGUUGCAGCUAGGGUUGGGUAAAAAUGCCAUUCUGCCUGCGCGCAAAUUGCGCGCAGAAUGGAAACGGAUUCUGCGCUUCCCCUGGACAAGGUGGCCCUCUUUUUUGUAUGGCCUGACCAUUCCAAAUUUGGCGUGAGGCAAAAAGCCACCGGAAAAAUGAAGAGGGCAGAUUGCUCCUCUGCGCGCAAAUUGCUAUUUCUGCUAACCGCAGCUGCUGUUUGCCCAUCUCUAGUUGCAGCGUGUUACGAUGGCGACUCUAAAGGGAUGACCAGUUUUGGGCCGAUGCUAACUGAAAUCAUGGAAGUGUUGAAAAAAAAUGUUCGACCUCGGAUCAGGUGGGGACACCCGCUGAACUUAAGCAUAUCAAUAAGCGGAGGAAAAGAAACCAACCGGGAUUGCCUCAGUAACGGCGAGCGAAGCGGCAAGAGCCCAAAUUUGAAAUCCGGCAACAGCUGGAGUUGUAAUUUGCAGAGGAUGUUUCGUCGGUCGUGCCCUGGCCCCAUGUUCCCUGGAAUGGGAUGUCACAGAGGGUGAGAACCCCGUAGGGGCUGGUGGCUGCGGCUGCAGCAGAGCGAAAGCUUUGCGAAGCGCCUUCGACGAGUCGAGUUGUUUGGGAAUGCAGCUCA
RNAcentral lists this ribosomal RNA (899 nucleotides) under uncultured Ascomycota. RNAcentral describes it as "eukaryotic LSU rRNA". The stretch from base 595 to 899 matches the Rfam family "Eukaryotic large subunit ribosomal RNA", at positions 1 to 289 of the family's 3401-position model. The record is from RNAcentral. Lineage: Eukaryota; Fungi; Ascomycota.